CAGGACGAACGCUGGCGGCGUGCUUAACACAUGCAAGUCGAACGGAAAGGCCCUGCUUUGUGGGGUGCUCGAGUGGCGAACGGGUGAGUAACACGUGAGUAACCUGCCCUUGACUUUGGGAUAACUUCAGGAAACUGGGGCUAAUACCGGAUAGGAGCUCCUGCUGCAUGGUGGGGGUUGGAAAGUUUCGGCGGUUGGGGAUGGACUCGCGGCUUAUCAGCUUGUUGGUGGGGUAGUGGCUUACCAAGGCUUUGACGGGUAGCCGGCCUGAGAGGGUGACCGGCCACAUUGGGACUGAGAUACGGCCCAGACUCCUACGGGAGGCAGCAGUGGGGAAUAUUGCACAAUGGGCGGAAGCCUGAUGCAGCAACGCCGCGUGCGGGAUGACGGCCUUCGGGUUGUAAACCGCUUUCGCCUGUGACGAAGCGUGAGUGACGGUAAUGGGUAAAGAAGCACCGGCUAACUACGUG
Molecule: ribosomal RNA, 470 nt
Filed under: uncultured bacterium
Lineage: Bacteria
Description: bacterial SSU rRNA
Rfam family: Bacterial small subunit ribosomal RNA
Source: RNAcentral